Molecule: ribosomal RNA, 253 nt
Filed under: uncultured bacterium
Lineage: Bacteria
Description: partial 16S ribosomal RNA
Rfam family: Bacterial small subunit ribosomal RNA
Source: RNAcentral
UACAGAGGAGCCAAGCGUUGUCCGGAUUGACUGGGCGUAAAGCGCACGCAGGCGGACGCGCGCGUGGGGUGUGAAAUCUGGCCGCUUAACGGCCAGGCGCCAUCCCAUACGGCGCGUCUGGAGCCUUGCAGAGGUCGGUGGAAUUGCCGGUGUAGUGGUGAAAUGCGUAGAGAUCGGGAGGAACAUCAGUGGCGAAGGCGGCCAUCUGGGACAACACUGACGCUGAAGCACGAAAGCGUGGGGAGCGAACAGG